This 208-nucleotide ribosomal RNA is filed under the name uncultured bacterium. RNAcentral describes it as "partial 16S ribosomal RNA". It matches the Rfam family "Bacterial small subunit ribosomal RNA", at positions 355 to 553 of the family's 1533-position model. The record is from RNAcentral.
UAGGGAAUCUUCGGCAAUGGACGAAAGUCUGACCGAGCAACGCCGCGUGAGUGAAGAAGGUUUUCGGAUCGUAAAACUCUGUUGGUAGAGAAGAACGUUGGUGAGAGUGGAAAGCUCAUCAAGUGACGGUAACUACCCAGAAAGGGACGGCUAACUACGUGCCAGCAGCCGCGGUAAUACGUAGGUCCCCGAGCGUUGUCCGGAUUUA